Molecule: small nuclear RNA, 146 nt
Filed under: Sorex araneus (European shrew)
Lineage: Eukaryota; Metazoa; Chordata; Mammalia; Eulipotyphla; Soricidae
Description: U1 spliceosomal RNA (ENSSARG00000020188.1)
Rfam family: U1 spliceosomal RNA
About the family: U1 is a small nuclear RNA (snRNA) component of the spliceosome (involved in pre-mRNA splicing). Its 5' end forms complementary base pairs with the 5' splice junction, thus defining the 5' donor site of an intron. There are significant differences in sequence and secondary structure between metazoan and yeast U1 snRNAs, the latter being much longer (568 nucleotides as compared to 164 nucleotides in human).
Source: RNAcentral
AUAUGUACCUGGCAGGAAAUACCAUAAUCACAAAGGUGGCUUUCCCAGGGUAAGGCACUCCUGAUGUUGUUGACUGCUAUAAUUUUCCCAAAUGUUGGAAACUCGAUUGCAUAAUUCAUGGUAGUGGGGAACUACUUUCAACCUAA